Molecule: non-coding RNA, 23 nt
Filed under: Arabidopsis thaliana (thale cress)
Lineage: Eukaryota; Viridiplantae; Streptophyta; Magnoliopsida; Brassicales; Brassicaceae
Source: RNAcentral
GUCAAGCCUUUAUAUUGAGCGUA